AUUCGAAGCCAACAGGACGCCGUGUUGGGAGAUGGAGUCAUAUUUGUAAUUCUUUGUAUUUUAUGUUCACUCGAAAGGGAAAAUAUGGCUUGAACAUGAGCAGAUUCAUAAAUCAGUGAUUGGAGGUGCAAAUUCUAAACAUUUGGACCUCUAACUCAUCAAUGACUUCACGAUUUCAAAUGUUUUUCAAGCAAACCUCCAAAAGUAUUAGAUAGAAACUCCAGGAAAACAUGGAGCCAAAAGUUGAUUUAAAUUUUGAUGUGAAAAUAUUCUGCCAAAAUUUACGGGCCACUAAACCACCUUACAAGUGUCCUGUUGAUAGUUGUGGUAAGGUGUACAAGAGCUUCUCGGGCAUUCAGUUCCAUCUGUACAACUAUGAUCAUGACAAUCCAGAGAAUGUGCCAUCACCAGCAUCAGUCAAGAAGACGAAGAAGAAAUUGGCAAAGUGGCAUCAUCGGCAAAAUCGUCGGUCACCUACCCCACCUGAGUUUUUCCGAUCACCGACAAGAGAGACUUUGACUUACGCAGAGGCUCAAAGACUUGUAGAAAUUGAUCUUGAAGGGAGAAUCCACAGAAUAGAUAUUUAUGAACCUUUAGAAAUAAUUUCACAAGACGAGAUUGAUAAUCAACACAAUACUGAAAAAGAAGAAAAGGCAGAAAAAUCUCCCCUCAAAGGUGGGAAAAGUACAGACAAUAACAAGAAAAAGGAAAAUGGUACUGUGAUCUCAAAUAAUACUGUCAAACUUCCUGAGGCACAAGUUAAAGUAUUAGAUGAUUAUAUCAAACCAUCUGGGCCUCCACAGCGAACAUCUUCCUACUAUCGUUACAUGGAGAAAUCAUCGGAUGAGUUGGAUGAGGAAGUAGAAUAUGACAUGGAUGAAGAGGAUCAUGCUUGGCUUGAGAUUCUGAAUGAUAAGAGGGAUACAGAUGGAAUACAAACGGUUUCGCAAGAAGUGUUUGAAACACUUAUGGAUAGGUUUGAAAAAGAAGCUUACUUCCAAAGUCAAAGCUCAGGAAAAGAUCCGAAUCCCUCCAUUGACGAAGAUGCUGUGUGCUCAAUAUGUAUGGAUGGCGAAUGCCAAAAUAGCAAUGUGAUUCUCUUCUGUGACAUGUGUAACUUGGCAGUUCAUCAGGAGUGCUAUGGUGUACCCUACAUUCCAGAAGGACAGUGGUUGUGUCGGCGCUGUUUACAGUCCCCAUCGCGAGCAGUUGACUGCUGUCUGUGUCCCAACAAGGGAGGUGCUUUCAAGCAGACAGAGGAUGGACGUUGGGCCCAUGUGGUUUGUGCUCUCUGGAUCCCAGAAGUGGGGUUCGCCAACACAGUAUUUCUCGAGCCCAUUGACAGUAUAGACAGGAUUCCAGCUGCUCGAAAGAAAUUGACUUGUUACAUUUGCAAGCAGAGGGGUUCGGGGGCAUGUAUUCAGUGUCACAAGACCAAUUGUUACACAGCAUUUCACGUGACUUGUGCCCAACAAGCAGGACUCUUCAUGAAAAUAGAGCCUGUUCGGGAAUGUGGACCAAACGGAACGACAAAUGGAGUCAGAAAGACAGCGUACUGUGAUGUGCACACUCCUGCGGACUCGGACUGUACGCCUCAUUUAGCAGAUGAAGACAAGUCAGUGUCUGCUAAAAAGGCAAAAGAAAAAUCAAGAAUCAAGAUGAGAAAAGCAAGGAAAAUUUUAGCAGAGAAACGCAAUGCUGUGCCAGUUGUGUCAAUACCAAUUAUUCCACAGUCGAGGUUAACUCGGAUUUCUAGUCUGGUGUCUCUUCAGAAGAAGGAUCAAUUUCUCAAGCGUCUGCUCAGCUACUGGACCCUCAAGAGACAGUCCCGGUUUGGAGUGCCAUUGCUCAGAAGGUUACAAUCUAAUCAUAUGACACGCAACAAGGAACAUCAAUCAAAGAAUGAUAAGCAGAGCAAUGCUCUUCGUGAGCAACUUAAAUACUGGCAGAGAUUGAGGCAAGAUCUGGAGAAAGCGAGAUUACUAGUGGAACUUAUUCGCAAGAGAGAAAAAUUAAAAAGAGAACAGAUUCGAUUCCACCAGCUUGCCACAGAGUAUCAGCUUCAGCCGUUUGUGUUACUUCUCCGACAAACCCUGGAACAGUUGGAGGAAAGAGACACCACCAGUAUCUUUGCAGAACCUGUGUCUCUGAAAGAGGUUCCCGAUUAUUUGGAGUACAUUGACAAGCCAAUGGAUUUUCAAACAAUGCGGAAGAGAGUCGAUGGUCACUUCUACACGAGUGUGGAUGAGUUUGAGAGUGAUUUUGAGCUGAUUGUGCACAACUGUCUGACGUACAAUGCCAAAGACACCAUGUUCUACAAGGCUGCGGUGAAGCUGAGGGAUCAGGGAGGAGGCAUAAUUCGUUCUACACGGCGCAUGGCAGAAAGAAUAGGUUUUGACAUGGAGACUGGUAUGCACAUCAGGGAGGUCCCAAGCAAACAUGAUAAAGAACCUGUCAUCCUUGAAGACAUUGACAGAUUCAUGCAGAUGGACAUCCGAGAGGGAAUGCCCCUAGAGGAACAACUGAGAAUCCUCCUGGACAAGAUGGAUGUGGCCAAUACCAUGCCUAGAGGAGGUCGAAGGUCUAAAUUUGCCAAAAGAAUUAAGAAGGAAAUAUUCAAAGUGAGGAGAAAGUUGGCGUUACAAAAAGGACAAUGUGCAAUGGAUGCUGCUGAUGAAACAGCAUCAUCAGAAGCUGCUUCUGCAGAAGAGUGUGAGAGCCAGCCAGUUUCUCCAAUGAGAUACCCCAGUACUUCCACACCUGGCCGACCAUCACUCAAAGACAAGCUCGCUGACAAGCCUACUCCCAAACCAGCUGGGCGAGGCACACCGGGCAGACCUCCAGGGCGAGGCCGCGGGCGGGGCAGACACCGGGCCCAGAGUACAAGGAGUGAAUCUGACCAAGUAGACACACCUAAACAUCAGGCAGGGGACAAGCAGCAUAAUGCGGAGACGGGCAAGUUGGGCUCCCACCACCAGUCCCAUGCAGAUAUGAAAGGGACCACGACACCAUCACCGUCUCCAUCGGGGGUCAACCGGCGCACUGCUGUUUUGUUGAAUAGUAAAAAAGCCCGUAAUUCUUCUUCCAAUGCUUCUACACCUUCCACGCCUACACAGCCCCGAAAAGGCCCUGGUCGGCCACCCAAAAACAGACCACCACCAGAACCUGUAUCCCCUAGGUCGCCUGUGCUGGAGUCCUCGUCCGGUAGCCGCGGGCCGGCUAGCCCCUCUACAGGGGCGCGGAAGCGAUCUGCCAGCACAGGAGCUUCCCACUCUGAUGGUCGUCCUUCACCCCCGAAGAGAGCCCACUCAAUGACUGAAACAUUACCUUCCCUAAGCGAGAGUAGCCACAUCCCAACUAAAGCAAGUUUCCAGGUGUACCGUGUCGGAAACAUCCGCAGUUCCUCUGAGUCCGAGAGCACCUCUGACCUGAGCAGUGGCGACGAAGAGCUGUCUGACAGCUCGACGGCAAGCUCCUCCAACAACAGCAGAUCAGAGGAUAAUUCUGACGCGACUGAGAACAGCAACGGGCAACGAGAUGGGCCUGACCUUGAACUUGGCAAUUGGAACGGCAUGUCGGGUAGCUCUCCUGCUUCUGCUUACAGCACAUCCAACUCCCCUCCUCAAUCCUCUUCCGCCCAGCAUGCAGCCAAGAGAAAGAAAAAAGAAAGCAUUAAAUUAGGCUCGGAUCUCACAGAGGAGGAUCUUUUUAUCAGAAGAACAAGGAACCGAUCCUAUGAUCAACAGGUUUAUAAAAGCACAGUUAUAAACUCAGCCUUGAAUAAAAGGAAGUCUGUACGGUUUGACUUAAACUACACAUCAGAAGAACGUACAAGUAAUCAAGUCAAAGAAAUUAAGUUGGUCCAGUAUAUAAGAGAAUCAGGUGGUAAUAAACUUGAAAACAGACCUGCAAGUAAAAGAUGUGGAGAGGGAAAGUAUGAAAGAGAACUUGGUGGUCAUAAACUUGAGACCAGAAGUUCGAGCAAACGAUUUAGAGAGGCAGAAUGUGGAAGAGAAUCGGGUGGUAAUAAACGUGAGACCAAAAGUACAGGAAAGAGAUGUAGAGAGUCCCAGAAUCAAUGUUCCAGCUCUGUAGGAGGUACACAAGUACACACUAGGGCCACACACAAGACGCUACUGGUAACCAGUGUUGACUUUACUGGGUCAGACCUCUUUGAGGUAUACACACAUCAGGGUUCUUCACAGAGAGAACAGUGUCAUGGAAACAUUCCUGUCAUGACACGAACCAGGGCUGGAAGCAAGGGAGCAGGCUACUCCUCAAUGCUACGUAGUCGGGACAAGAACUGUAAUUCUGCCAGGGAGAUUAAUCAAAGUGACACUGAUGCUGUAUUCAAAGACUGUAUGGGAGCAAUGGCAGUCGAAGGUUGCAUUGUAUCAGCUGUACACGAAGACAUCAUUGAGAGCUCUGAUGGUGACGAGCUGAGUUCUGGGAGAACAGGAUCUCCUGCUGGAAAGGCAAAAUGUCCAGCCUCUCUCGGAGAACUGUCAGGCUUUGCUAGCUCUUCUGGCAGAUGGGCGACUGCUUGGGAGGGCAAACUGCACCAGUCACACAACCUCAGGUUUUGUCACCAGCUGUGCUCGCCCCAGACGAAGUCCCAGCUUUGAAUCUGAUGAUGUGAUUGCCCUGGAGCCCCUUGACCUGGUGUGGGCCAAGUGUCGCGGAUAUCCCUGGUACCCUGCACUGAUAAUAAAUCCCAAGAUGCCAAAGACUGGCUAUUUCCAUAAUGGUGUCCCCAUCCCAGUCCCUCCUGAGGAUGUUCUCAACCUGCAGAAAUGCUAUGAUGAAACAGUGUACCUGGUUCUCUUCUUUGACACGAAGCGCA
This is an RNA transcript of Haliotis rubra (blacklip abalone), 4843 nucleotides long. It is a transcript of the gene named bromodomain-containing protein 1-like, with no coding region annotated. The transcript has 16 exons. The record is from RefSeq and is a predicted model, not a curated record. NCBI's taxonomy places the organism in Eukaryota, Metazoa, Mollusca, Gastropoda, Lepetellida, Haliotidae.